This 264-nucleotide long non-coding RNA is filed under the name Phoenix dactylifera (date palm). RNAcentral describes it as "long non-coding RNA (PDAC_LNC014458)". The record is from RNAcentral. Lineage: Eukaryota; Viridiplantae; Streptophyta; Magnoliopsida; Arecales; Arecaceae.
GCACCGUCACCACCGUGGCACCAUCCUCCGGCUUCAACUUCCGGGAGGCAAGAACUUAAGGUUCGUUUGCCAAAUGCCAAAGGCCCCAAGUCCAUCGUCCACACUCCACGGCCUUAGAGUUAGAGUUUCGACAUGUUAAAUUGCUUUGGGGAGACAUCAGACAUGUUAGCAUGAUAUAAUAUUCCUGAAUUAGAUGGUGUUCUGUAGACUGUAGUUAUCUUUCAUUAUUUUUCAUCAAAUGUACUUCAUCAAAAAAGAAAACCA